Molecule: ribosomal RNA, 462 nt
Filed under: uncultured bacterium
Lineage: Bacteria
Description: partial 16S ribosomal RNA
Rfam family: Bacterial small subunit ribosomal RNA
Source: RNAcentral
GACGAACGCUGGCGGCGUGCUUAACACAUGCAAGUCGAACGGAAAGGCCUUUUCGGAGGUACUCGAGUGGCGAACGGGUGAGUACACGUGGGUGAUCUGCCCUGCACUCUGGGAUAAGCCUGGGAAACUGGGUCUAAUACCGGAUAGGACCGCACUUUAGUGUGUGUGGUGGAAAGUUUUUUCGGUGUAGGAUGAGCCCGCGGCCUAUCAGCUUGUUGGUGGGGUAAUGGCCUAACAAGGCGGCGACGGGUAGCCGGACUGAGAGGUUGGUCGGCCACAUUGGGACUGAGAUACGGCCCAGACUCCUACGGGAGGCAGCAGUGGGGAAUAUUGCACAAUGGGCGCAAGCCUGAUGCAGCGACGCCGCGUGGGGGAUGACGGCCUUCGGGUUGUAAACUCCUUUCGCCAGGGACGAAGCGUUUUGUGACGGUACCUGGAGAAGAAGCACCGGCUAACUACGUG